This is a non-coding RNA of Cicer arietinum (chickpea), 861 nucleotides long. NCBI's taxonomy places the organism in Eukaryota, Viridiplantae, Streptophyta, Magnoliopsida, Fabales, Fabaceae. The record is from RefSeq and is a predicted model, not a curated record.
UAAAAGUUAUUAUUAUCCUUGUAAUAUUCCAAACCGUUACGAAACUUCGACCUAUAUAUACAGUUAGAAAUUGAAUUUUGUAAAACAGCUUAUUCCCCGCCAAAUGAAAGAGAAUCAAACGCCACAGAAACUCACUGCUCGCUCCGCAGAGAAUCGCAUUGGAAGAUUAAAGGAUUUUCCAUCGAAGAAGAACAAGUCUAACAAGGCACAAAUCAAUCCCUAAACCUCAAUUACUUCUUCUUUUUACAUUUCCUUUUCAGAUUCACGUGUUAUUCGUUUUCUUCUCUUUCUCCAGAUCUCGAACAAGUGCUUGAAUGAAUCAUUUGCAUCGCUUUCUGAAGAAUCUGUGGAUUUAUCACCGAUUUCUGAUAUUACUCACACAAAUUUCAACGAAGAUGUUACAACGUUCUUGUUAGAAGAAUCUUCCUCUGUGACUUUGCUUCAACCUGAUACAUUACAGUCUGAAAAGAUCACUGACACAACGGAAAAUAGUUCCUCUAAUUGCUUCGAUAUCUGCGAGUUUACGAAAUUUGCUUGUGUGGAGGAUGAGAUCGCUAUGAAUUUUCUCAAAAAUGUUAAACCUAAUGAGAUCCUUACUUCUUCGGUCAAUGCUGCUCCUCAAUAUAGAAAGAUUACAGACGAGAUAAUUCAGUAUGUCACAGACGAUCUCAACAGCGAUACGCUGCCAGUGGAAAGAUGUCAUAGAUGUUCUCAAUUGCAAGUGCGUUCGAGGAAAAAUCGAUUUCUGUCUCUAUGUGUCUUCAUUUGCUUCAUUGGAGUAUUGGUUGUGAUUCUCUUCACUCCUGAUGUUGAUUGUGGACUAGUGCCAACUUGAACCAUUCUAGUGAGGUUGAUUUGCUA